This 441-nucleotide ribosomal RNA is filed under the name uncultured bacterium. Its description in RNAcentral is "partial 16S ribosomal RNA". It matches the Rfam family "Bacterial small subunit ribosomal RNA", at positions 338 to 795 of the family's 1533-position model. The record is from RNAcentral.
CCUACGGGGGGCAGCAGUCGGGAAUAUUGCGCAAUGGAGGAAACUCUGACGCAGUGACGCCGCGUAUAGGAAGAAGGUUUUCGGAUUGUAAACUAUUGUCGUUAGGGAAGAUAAAAGACUGUACCUAAGGAGGAAGCCCCGGCUAACUAUGUGCCAGCAGCCGCGGUAAUACAUAGGGGGCAAGCGUUAUCCGGAAUUAUUGGGUGUAAAGGGUGCGUAGACGGAAGAACAAGUUGGUUGUGAAAUCCCUCGGCUCAACUGAGGAACUGCAACCAAAACUAUUCUCCUUGAGUGUCGGAGAGGAAAGUGGAAUUCCUAGUGUAGCGGUGAAAUGCGUAGAUAUCAGGAGGAACACCGGCGGCGAAGGCGGCCUGCUGGACUGCGACUGACGUUGAGGCUCGAAAGCGUGGGGAGCGAACAGGAUUAGAUACCCCGGUAGUC